Callithrix jacchus (white-tufted-ear marmoset) is the source of this 3760-nucleotide long non-coding RNA. The record is from Ensembl. Lineage: Eukaryota; Metazoa; Chordata; Mammalia; Primates; Cebidae.
AUGGUGAUGACCUUUGACCUUGAAUUUCUGCCUAUAAAGUUUCUCCUUCCUGCUGUUCUAAACUUUCCAUUUUCCUUUUGCUAUUCCAUCUGGAUGAACAAAGACUGCAUCGCGAUCUGGGAAGAGCAUGUAAAGAGUCACUCAAACCCAAAGACGUCGACUGUGUUACUUCCUAAUUCAAUGAAUUUGGGGUUUUCUGAGCCAUAGUUAACUAAGCAGUAUAAACUGGACAUUAAUAUCUAUUUUAGAGUUGUUGUGAGAUUAACUAGCGGCCAUAACAUAUAUGUCACAAAAUAGAAACUAAAUUUACAGUGACUUUCCUUUUCUUCAAAUCACCCACACGAUUGUAUUUCCUGUAAUAUCUUUUAGUACUUUGGGAUUUAGGAACUAUUUCUUAUUCCUGUCUCUUGUUCAUUCUCCUCUAUCUUUAAUUUUUCUUUAAAUGUUAAGCAAGUAUUAACAUAACAAAUGGUAUGAAACCAUUUUAAGAAAAGCCUGUAUACAAAUAUGUAAUUAGAAGUUGAUAAAUUAAGGUGUGAUGAAUUACAUAAAAUGAUCCACAGAAUUAUUCAAUACUGAACCUGAGAGAAACAUGAGAAAUAGCUGGUACAAUCCUCUAGCUUUGCAGAAGAGGAAACCACAAUCAGAGAAGUGACUUGAUUUGCUUAGGGGCAUAUAGUUGCCAUUUUUCUAAUGUAAAGCACUCGUGCAUUUCAAAUAAUUAACAGUUUUUAAAAUUUUACUUUCAUAUUUUGUUUAAAAAGCUAAUAUUAAGUAAUCUAUUUUUAAAAACAAUUACAUAAAGUUGAAGAUGAUUCUUUUUAUAUGUGUGGGGUUUUGUACACAAGGGCAUGGUUUUAUCUUAAUAAUCAUUUCUCAGCUACACUGGAGUUUCGUGUGUGCAUUAUACUUCACAUCCACAGGGAGUUUAGCUCUACUCUGGGGUUUUUGAAUGACUGCUCUAGGUGGAGAUCAUGGAACAUGUCUGCCUCUUAACUAGAUUCAAUAUCUGAACCUGUAAAACUUUAGACAGAAUUCAACCUGAAACCAGUAAGGAAAGAACUACCAGAAUAGAUAUUUCAGCAUCUUAAUGAGUCUAGAAUUGAAGCAAGCCUGUAGAAGGGAAAAUCCUCCCCAAUUAAACCUAGUCCUUGAAAAAGUGAUUAGAUAUUUCAGAAGAUUAAAAUAGCAUCCGUAAUAAGUUAUCUGAAUGUAGGUAAGAAUCAGGAAGAAAAGACAAUUCUCGGUUCUUCUUCCUAAAUAUUUCUCUCCCAUCUUCCCCAUAAGGAGCCCCACUCCUACCACAGAGACCAAGGUAACUACUUGAUAAUUCCUUCUUCGCAGCUAUUUUCUAAUGAGCCUGAUGGAGAAUUCGCAGAUUAAUGCCAAUCUCUUCAAAUAACUGCAUAUGAUGAAAAGGAAACAGUGGCGUGGUUUGUCCGUGUGGCAGGUUUUUAAUAUUAAUGCAAAAAAUAUGUACUGGAAAGUGAAAAACAGAUAUGAGAAACUAAGCUGUAUCAUUCAUAUAAGAAUACAAUUUUGUAUAUUCAUGACCGUCGUGAUAUUUCAUUGGUCUUCAGAAUAACUUCAGAAUAACAUCAAACCAUCUAAAUCUGAUAAUAUGUUUGUUCAAUAAUGACCCUCACACAGCUUAUUGAAUUUUUGCCCAAAUGGCGCUGGUUGAGGUCCAGGGAAGCUCUGAGUUUAAAAGAAGAACCUGAGGAACAAAAAAAAGAAUAAUAAUUAGGUACAAGCUUUUUUAAAUUUAUGUUUAUCCUAAGCUCAUUAUUUUGCCAUUUUAAUAACAGUUAUAUAUUUUGUGGAGCUCCCAUGAUACCUUAAACAUAAACCUACACAAAGUGGAUAUUCAGUAUCUAUGACUUAGGAGAUUGGCUGAUCUAUUUCAUCUCUUUCCUUCUCAUGGUUGUUCAGUAAGUCAUAUAGUAACUACUGUAGUUGCUGUAUCGAAGUCGUCAAGAGAAAAAAAUAUUUUUUUCUCCCUUGAACGGUUAUUUUCUGCUUACACAGCACACUUGUCAAAGCCCUUGAAUAUUUCAGCAUAGGCAUCAGAUAAACAUAUAAAUAGCUAGAUAAAUAACUGACAAAACACUGCAAAUUAUUUGGCAGUAAAUAUAAGCACACCACAAAUUGCAAGGUUAAUACUUAACAUCUUUCAAAAACUGCUUCUAAACUAAGACUGUACUAUUAACAUGAGAUUAUGGGAAAGGAAUUUAUAAUAUUUAAAAGUUAUUUGACUGUUAGUGAAUAUUUUCUAAUUUCUGAGUAAAAACAGUAUGGCAUGAUUCAAUUAUGUGAGAAGAUUGAAUUAUUAAAAAAUUAUCAAAAUCAAAGACUCUUCUGUUUGUAUUAUGAAGGAUUUGGGGUUACAUUGUAAACAAGGACUAGAAAGAACACAUACAGUUUAAGUAGCAGUCAGGACCAGUGGAGCGUAAUUUUUGGCAUGCUUAAAAUGAUUAUGAAAUUAAGUAAGGAAAUUAUAAUGCCCAAUUUUCUCUGAAAAGAAAUGCUAUAGAUACCAUAAACAAGACACCUGUGGGUGAUAAAAAGACUAAAAUAAAAAAAUUCAUCCCUGAAUGAUGACAAAUCACUGCAAAUAGUGUGCUUUCUAUCGGAAGCACAAUCCUGUAUGUUCAUAGGCCAGCCCUGUCAGGUGCAUUGGUGGGCCAUCCUGCUGUGCACAUCCUCAGUGUGACACACACCAGGCAGAGAUGGUGAUGUACAGAAGCCAAGAAAAUUUCCACUACAUGUCAUGAUCAUGAGAGCCACAGCCUAGCUGCUGCUGAAUGGUGGCAGCAGAAACUUCAGUCAACAUAUUUUAACCUUCAGAGUUAUUCAGGCACAUUCUGAUCUCACCAAAUGAGCUGAUAAGAGUGAAGUACAAGCUUGGCGUCAAACAGCUGUUUCCAAAUAACCAAUAGGAGGCAAGGCAAAGGAGUGCUUUCUUUCUGUUUUUAGAUACAGUCAGUGCUUUUCAAGGCUAAAACUCCAACAACAGUUUUUCCAUUGCAUAAAACACAAACAGCUAACCUUUUAAAUAUAUCAGAACACAGCAGGGCAAUAAAAAUAAAAGGAAGAAGAGAAGAAGAAGAAAAAGAAGAAAAGAAAGAAUAAGUUAAAUGUUAUAGUGUAAAACCAGCCAGGUUCUAAGGUCAAAGCACUCUGUGAACAUUAGAUUCUGCAGUUCAAGUGAAUCAAAUUCAAGUCAAGCUGGUUCAAUGUUUCACUUGAAAUGUUUUGUCCUUUUUUGCUUGUUGCUUAUCCUGAAAUCUGAUCUACUUCCAGGUUUAAUGCAGGGGACAGGCAAAAAGCUGACCUAUCCUUAGUAUUAAAGGGGAUUGCACUAAGUGUGGGGGUAAGAGCAAUAAUUCCACAGCUUCCUUCUUGGAAACAGGCCCAGCUUGAAGAAAUAAAAAUAGAAGUGUCUGAAUGCAACUAAAAAGCUCAGCCACAUGGAAUUAAAAUGCCAAUUCCCUUUAGCCUUUUUUUUUUUCAGUCAUCAAAAUUCCAAAGCCCACAAACUAAAAAGCUCUUACAGUCCAGUAUCUUUUCUGGUAACCCAUCAAUGGAAGUCACAUUGAUCCAAAAUGACUGCAUAUUGAGUAGUUUCAACCAGGCUGUACUCAUACUUUAAAAAAAUUAUUAAGUUUAAAUUGCAGAUAAACAAAUACAUAUGCCAAAGAGCACUAGAGCUCCAGGACAGGCCUCAUCUAGUUGAUGGUCAUCCUUUUGAUUCCAAAAU